RNAcentral lists this ribosomal RNA (491 nucleotides) under Otostigmus sp. 1 DAN-2022c. RNAcentral's name for it is "partial large subunit ribosomal RNA". It matches the Rfam family "Bacterial large subunit ribosomal RNA", at positions 1819 to 2606 of the family's 2925-position model. Lineage: Eukaryota; Metazoa; Arthropoda; Chilopoda; Scolopendromorpha; Scolopendridae. The record is from RNAcentral.
GUCUUUUUGAGUAUAAUAAUAAGUCUAGCCUGCCCGAUGUAAAUAUGAAUGGCCGCGGUAUUUUGACCGUGCGAAGGUAGCAUAAUAAAUAGUCCAUUAAUUGUGGUCUGGAAUGAAAGGUUUGACAGGGAAUUUCUUUUUUGACAUUAUUUUUGAAAUUAAAUUGCUAGUUAAAAUGCUAGUAUAAUUUAGGAGGACGAGAAGACCCUAUAGAGCUUUACACGAUAUGUUCUUGUGUUGGGGAUAAAAAGAAUGUAGUGUUUUGUUGGGGCGACAAUAAAUUAAAACAUUUAUUAUUUUUGCUUGUUGGAAGGUGUAAUGAUCCAUUAAUAAUGAUUUAAGACAAAGUUACCUUAGGGAUAACAGCGUAAUCUUAUCUUAGAGUUCAUAUCGAUGAUGAGGAUUGCGACCUCGAUGUUGGAUUAAAAUUCCUUUAUGGCGCAGUAGUUUUAAAAGGUAGUCUGUUCGACUAUUAAAAUUUUACAUGAUCU